UACAGAGACGGCAAGCGUUGUUCGGAUUCAUUGGGCGUAAAGGGUCCGCAGGCGGUCCGGCAAGUCGGAUGUGAAAUCCCGUGGCCCAACCACGGAAAGUUGUUCGAAACUGCCGGGCUCGAGGACUGGAGAGGAGACUGGAAUGGUCGGUGUAGCGGUGAAAUGCGUAGAGAUCGACCUGAACACCGGUGGCGAAGGCGGGUCUCUGGGCAGUUCCUGACGCUCAGGGACGAAAGCUAGGGGAG
This 245-nucleotide ribosomal RNA is filed under the name uncultured bacterium. RNAcentral's name for it is "partial 16S ribosomal RNA". It matches the Rfam family "Bacterial small subunit ribosomal RNA", at positions 524 to 768 of the family's 1533-position model. The record is from RNAcentral.